UUGAAAUUAGUGUGUUGGCUUGUCAUAUUUAUUGCAUGUAUCAUAUUACAGGAGCAGUUUGCAUGGGUCAUCUCAUUUAAUCCUUGCAACAAUCCUCUCAGCUGUUUAUCAUGCAGGUUCUGAUUUUGAAGAUGCAGAAUUUCAAAACGAUGAAGGAGUUGGCCCAAUGUCAUGCAGAAAGAAUGAAAAGUAACAUUGAGUGAAGUCCAGAUCUUAGCCCCAGAGACAUCUCCUGGUUCUUACCUUCUCCAUCAGAGCUGAGGCUGAACUAUCAAGGAUGCCUGGACUGAAAGUGAAAAUGUCUUCAGCUGGAACCUUGCUGGCCAAGACACGGACACCACAGAGAAUCAUCACAAAAAUAAUGAAAAUUGUAAUUGGAUUGGACUACCCCUAAGUCCAAAAACUUUGUCAGGCCUUAAAUCCAUGAGGUUAGUGCAAAACUAAAUGACAAAUCAAGUCCUUUGCCUCAAGGAACACACACACUUUCUUUGCUAGAAACUUUGGAAUAUUAAGCCCACUUAGCACUCUUCUUCUAAGAAGUGCCUCCCACUGGCGAAGCGAGGUUCAGCAGUCAGCCACGUUGAAAAGGAGGAUAACUGGAGGAGCCAAAAGUUCUCACAUACCUGGGAAAUGGGUAGAACUAUUUCUCCCCGAAAUACACUUCCAUAUGGAGGAGACUUUCCUUGAGUGGAAUUCCAACCA
Cavia porcellus (domestic guinea pig) is the source of this 702-nucleotide long non-coding RNA. RefSeq lists it as uncharacterized. Lineage: Eukaryota; Metazoa; Chordata; Mammalia; Rodentia; Caviidae. The transcript has 4 exons. The record is from RefSeq and is a predicted model, not a curated record.